UAGGGAAUCUUCCGCAAUGGGCGAAAGCCUGACGGAGCAACGCCGCGUGAGUGAUGAAGGUCUUCGGAUUGUAAAACUCUGUUAUUAGGGAAGAACAAAUGUGUAAGUAACUAUGCACAUCUUGACGGUACCUAAUCAGAA
Molecule: ribosomal RNA, 141 nt
Filed under: uncultured bacterium
Lineage: Bacteria
Description: partial 16S ribosomal RNA
Rfam family: Bacterial small subunit ribosomal RNA
Source: RNAcentral